UGCUGAUCCUCUCGCUCGUCAAGUGCGCGUCUGUCCGAAAAUUG
RNAcentral lists this transfer RNA (44 nucleotides) under Palpitomonas bilix. RNAcentral describes it as "partial Selenocysteine transfer RNA". The record is from RNAcentral.